RNAcentral lists this long non-coding RNA (607 nucleotides) under Bos mutus (wild yak). RNAcentral describes it as "lncRNA (ENSBMUG00000012250.1)". The record is from RNAcentral. Lineage: Eukaryota; Metazoa; Chordata; Mammalia; Artiodactyla; Bovidae.
AGGCGGACAAGUGUUAGAUAAUAAGGAGUGCAGAGAAUGGGCAGACUAGAGACCCCACUUCUAAUCAUAGCUCCAGCUACUGUUUACAGGAGGGAAAGCAGACACAGUGUUUUCAGACCUCCCAAGUUUUGAAAGAGGCUGGAAGUCUAAUUCAGUUUAUUUAACACCAUGGACCCAAGCAACAUGUGUGUGAGGCCCAAAUUGAAAUUAUGGACUAGAUGCUUGUGACUUUGAUUUAAGUGCAUCACCACAGCUGCUUACUCAGAUUCCAUGGUUAUCCUGAUGCUGUUGGACUUGGGAAUGUGUGCGCUCUUGGAGGUGAUGGUGCAAGUGAGAGAUGUGGGACAGAGGCGACUUGUCAUCCAAGGGGGUGAUGUGCAACUAAUUAAAGGCAGACUGGCAGCGUCUGCAAAUUCUAAGGCUCCCCAAAUAAAAAGAGACUGUUGUAACAGUUGGAGGAUAAUGCAAAGGAAGACGCUGCCUGGGAAUUCACCGUCUGUGGAAAUGCGCCCCAGAGAGGAAUAAAGCAGUCCUCACCUUGCUCUCCCCACCUGGACCCACUUUCCCCUCCCGCCUCGGCCCCCACCCCAACAUCACCAUCACCCCC